CCGAAUACAUUCAGCUUAGAAUGAAGCCUGAACUCAUUGGCAAAACUUUGGUCAACUUCUUGUCAGAAACCUUAAAAUCUCUCAAAGCAGGCAGUCGAUCGAUACUUUCCAAUAAUCUCCGAUCAACUGGCUCACUGAACUUUUAUGGAAUGUCACCGGUCAAAUUAUUCUGGGAAAGAUCAACUUCAGCCAAAUUCAAAGCAUCAAUGACUUUGGGUAUUUCACUUAAAAGAUGAUUUUUGAAGAGAUACACAAUGGUUAGAGUCUUGAAGGUAAACAUAUCACUUGGAAUUGGACCUUCCAAAUUGUUACUUGACAAAUCCAAAUGCUCCAAACUCAAAAGAUUAUUGAAACUUUGCGGGCUUUACCGAUCAAAUUGAUUUCCGUAAUUCAUAAAUACACCAAUUUCUUUAAGAAAUUAAAUUCCCAAGGCAUUUCAUGUCGAAAAAGCCACUAUAAGCCAUAACCAGAGCUAGAAGAUUGGACUAAAUUUUAUAUAUAAUUUUUAUGUCCUUUUAUAAUAAAUUAUAUAUUUUUCAAGUUUUUAAAUUUUGAAUUUUUUUGAAAUAUUUGAAUUUGGACUAAACUGAUAAAAUAUGCUAAUAUUGAUAGUUAAAUUUAUUAAAAAAAUUUAGAAUUAAGACUAACUUGAUAGAAUAUGUAAACUGUUAAGGGUUAAAUUUAUUGACUUAUACCAAUCAAAAGUCUGCAAACCUCAACAUUUUGUUCAACGACCAAGGCAUUUUAAUGAUGAAGUGAGUUAGAGUGAGUUUGGAUGUGUGGUGCGUUUACCUGCGAUUAGUGUAAAAACAGCGGUGGCGGUGAGAUUAGAUACUGUAGCGUGAGACAAAAAGUAAGCUAAACGCACCGCACCCAAUCGCCCAUCCAAACCCACCCUUAAAAUGACAAUUAGUCUAAUGAAAGUGGCCAAAUUAACAAAAAAAGAAAAGAAAAGAAAAGAUGACCAAAAUAGGAAUGCAUUAAAACUUGUGUGACUAGCUAAGUAGUUUACCCUUUAAUUCUUUUAGAAAUAUUAUUAAGAAUUUUUUUUAUAAAUGUCAAAUUGAUAUUUUGGUUAUAGUUCAAGGGUUAAGUUGAACCCUUUAAAUUAACGCGUCACACCACCCUUUUAACAGUAAUUAAUGUAUAAGCGACAAAAAUAUAACAUUUUGAUAAUUUUAAUGACAAUUAUAUAACUUUUGAAAGUUGAAUAACUAAAAUAUAAUUUAAAUCAAAAUUUUGGAGUAAUAACAAUAAUCGAAAAAAAAUGAAGAAGGAAAGUUUUCAAAUUAUUAGUAUUUUCAUUUAGCUUUCAAAUCAAGCAUGGAAAUAAAUUAAAUUGGAUCAAGCUUUGGCAGUGACCGACGCGUAAGCAGAUUAGGGUGGAGCCGCUGUUGUCUGCUACAGAGCUUUGAUAACCAUUCCCCCCACUACUUUUUGAACAAAAGAAAUUCCGUUCAUACAUGAUUUUCGUAUAAAUUGACAAAACCCCAGAAAGGAAAGAGAUUCGAGUAUAAAAGGAACAGUUUUCGGAGCAUGUAAAGGGACAAAGAAACUUAGAAACCUUGCCCUAAACCAUAAGGAUGGGGAUGGGUGGAUAUGAAAUCGUUAUCAAGAAGAGAAAAUUCUCGUUUGGAGGCUGCGAAAAAAACCUUUUCAAUGGAGUCACUGCAUGUGUUUGUACGAUGGAGCCUUUGGGUGUUAUCAUUCAUCACGUACUUUAUCAAAAUAAUUAAUGUUACCCCCAUUAAUUGUGGACCAAAUUUCCACCCAUUCCAUGCUUUAAAUGAUGUUGAUAGAUAGUGGUCUACGUCUUUGUUUUUAUGUUCAAUACAAGGCACUUCUUUGGCUUUACUCUUAAUUUAUUAUAUAAUAAUGUCUUUUACAGACUAUGAUGAAAACCCUAGAAGAAAAUGAUAUUUAACUCCUCUUUUCUCUCUCUCUCUCUCUUAAUUUUCACCUAAAUUUGAGGUGUCAUUUUCUUUGACUAAUUAUAAGAUCCAAAAUUAAAUUAAUGAAGAACUGUCUGCCUAACAGUCUAUUUAUUAUUAAUAUGCAGCCCUUAACAUGACUUGAAGUUUCAGUAAUCCAUAUAUAUUAAUAAUCUUAUAUCAUGAUGAUACAUAUCCAUUAGGGUAGUUAAGAAUAGAAUAUAAUAUGAAUACAACCCUAUUAAUGAAUUUCAAAUUCAUUGCCUAACAAACUAUGACCAUUAAGUGUGAGGAAAAUUUAUCUGACCUCAAUAACUUGAAAGUUUCAUAGCUUGGGGUAGCCUCUCAAAUGGGAAAUUUGCCUUUUUAAAUCUUUUAAAAUUUUACUUUCAUCUUUCAAUUAUAAUAAAUUUAUAAUUUAGUACUAUGAUAAAAUUAAAUUUUAGGCUUGAGAAUACCUCUUUCUUGAAAGUGAGCAAAGGAACUGUCUGGCAGCUAAUUCCGUUGUUUUUUCGGCACCAUGCCCUUGGCUAGUUAGCUACUUAGCCGCCCUUGUUGAGUCACCUUUUUGAAUCUGGUUAAUAAGUGAACAAAAUUAAAUUUUGUACAAAUUUGAACCACACAAAAUAACUUUUCUUAAAAGGACAAAUGAAAAAGGAACUUGUUGGAGCAUGCAACAUCGCCUGAUUUUCAAGCAACCAUGAGUUCAACCAUAACGUCAAAGAUGUAUCAAUUUCUCGUCGAAUGAGGAUUAGAAAGAGUGCAAAAAUUGAAGUUCCUACUCUAAGAUAUUGAGUGGAAAGUAUUGAAGAAUCGUGUAUUGCCAUCCACACAACAGCACCUUUCUUUU
RNAcentral lists this long non-coding RNA (2781 nucleotides) under Gossypium barbadense (sea-island cotton). RNAcentral's name for it is "long non-coding RNA (GBAR_LNC016067)". The record is from RNAcentral. Lineage: Eukaryota; Viridiplantae; Streptophyta; Magnoliopsida; Malvales; Malvaceae.